AACGAACGCUGGCGGCAUGCCUAACACAUGCAAGUCGAACGAAGCCUUCGGGCUUAGUGGCGCACGGGUGCGUAACGCGUGGGAAUCUGCCCUCAGGUACGGGAAUAACUCAGGGAAACUUAGAGCUAAUACCGUAUAAUGACUUCGGUCCAAAGAUUUAUCGCCUGAGGAUAAGCCCGCGUCGGAUUAGCUAGUUGGUGAGGUAAAAGACUCACCAAGGC
Molecule: ribosomal RNA, 221 nt
Filed under: uncultured bacterium
Lineage: Bacteria
Description: partial 16S ribosomal RNA
Rfam family: Bacterial small subunit ribosomal RNA
Source: RNAcentral